Long non-coding RNA from Aethalodelphis obliquidens (Pacific white-sided dolphin), 6161 nucleotides. RefSeq lists it as uncharacterized. Lineage: Eukaryota; Metazoa; Chordata; Mammalia; Artiodactyla; Delphinidae. The record is from RefSeq and is a predicted model, not a curated record. The transcript is spliced from 3 exons.
GGAGGGAGCACAGGCCAAGGGCCCCCGCCCCGAGCGGCCUGGCCCGGGAUGGCUCAGCAGGAAGGCUCGGCUGGCCUGGGCCGGCCUCUCGCCCAGAGCCGAGUGCAGAGCACACCGGGCCGCUGGCGAACCCGGCGGGCACCAUCUGUGAGCCUGAAGGGACGGUGUGGCUUGUGCGCUCAGGACCCGCUCACGGUAAUGUCUCUUUUUAGCUGCCGGUUCCUUCUGAACGAGUUGAUUUUGGAGGUUGUUCUUUUGCAUGGCUAGGUUGCUUCAUGCAAUCUUGAGCCCCUCCCAGCAGAUAACAUUCCUGAGGCCACCGGCAUUCCUUAGCCUCUAGGCCCAAACACCUAGAGGAGAAGCGCUCCAGACAGUGGAAGCUCCCCCGCAGCACAAAUCAGGGUCCACGUCCUCCCCAGCACCUGUGGACCAUCUCUCUUCAGAAGCCUGGUGUGCAGGAAACUCAUUACCCCUCGUCUGACGUCCAGAGAGGGCUGCCACCAGCCUCCUGGGCAUGGGGCGUGUGGUCCAGGACCUCCCCUGCCCUGAUUCACCACCUCCAGGCCUCCACCGGGGAGCAGACGGGACUUGUGUGAGCCUGCGGGCCAUGGGCUCAGGCCGUGACAGGCCAGGCUGCAGAUGCCGGGCCCUCCUCCGUCAGACACCUCAAAGAGGACACAGGACACUGGCUGCAUUGGAAAAAGACAAGUAGAUGGGGGCAUCCCCCUCCUGGGGACGGCGUGAGAGGUCAGGUGGGCCCGUCCGCCGUGGGCACAGGGACAGGUCGAGGUGAAGGUGUGAGGAACGUCGCCCUGCGUUACCUGCUGGUGGCAGAGGCUGGAGCCGGGUGGCAGCCGUCUCUGAAGGGCUGGUAAGGACGCAGGCACAGUGCCUCGAAGGACCCCAGCACGGCUCCAUUAGGUACAGUUUCUGCUCCAGAACAUUAAUCCGUUUUAAUUAGGGGCCCACAGUCCAAAGGGAUUCCACAAGGAGGUCUGGGCAGGUGGGGCACAGGCAGGUGGCCGGGCUGGGCAGUGGGAGGGGUGGCAGGAGGAGGGGAAGAGGCAGCCAUGGUGCCGGGAGCCCCUCAGGUUCCAGUCCUCGUGCACCAGCGGUGGCGCCGGCGGCUGGGGGGUUCCCGGCCCCCGGGGCUCAGAGCUGUGUUUGCAGCGAGCCCAGCCCACUGCGGCCCCUCACUUGUGAGUCUGUGUUGAUACAGAGGCGAGGGUGGGUCAGGAGGGCCUCAGCCUCUCUCCUGUGCCUUCGGGGGCCCCUGCCCGCCGAGCUCAGAGCCAGAGGGGCACAGAGGGUUUGGAGAUCACGUUUCAGAGGCAGCCCAGGCACUGUUUCUCACGUCCCCACCGUCCGUCCCUGCUCUUCUAACAAGUGUUCAGGCUGCCGGUUGGGGCCUCUGUUCACAGGACGGUCCCAACAACCCAUGACGCGCUGCCCUGCAGGGUGUGACUGGUGAGUUUCAGGUGUAGACCCUGCCUGGCGGUCCUGGGCUGCACCCACCUCAGGAGCGCCACCCACCCACCCACCGGACUCCUUUCUGUUCCUGACCUGCAAGUCCAGAUGCUACGAUUCUCAAAGUUGUGUUUUUCUGAAAACCUACAGAGAACGCUUACAAGUGAGGAGGAGAUAUUAUUAUGCGUGAGGAAUCUAGUUUUGAAACAAAAUAACAAAUCCCGUAUGUGGGCUCCGCCCCAUCCAGUGUCCUUGGAUUUCUUGACGCUGAAUAUCCCGCUGUCCCCUGCCUCCGUGACAUCCCUUCUGUCUCCCAGGGUCCUGCCGUUCGACUCUCUGCUGGAUUGGAUUGCUGUGUCCUCUUCACCGGUGGCCCCCAGCCUGGCCUCUUCCCACCUGUCCCUCCCUUACAUGGCUGUGUCUCCAGUCUUCCCUCCUUUUGGGAGUCCAUGUACAACCUCCAUGGUGACGUCCCCCAGGGACGUCUCACCCGCACCUCUUUCUUGAGCUUGUGCCGCUCAGAGGGCAUUUUCUCCUGUGUUGCCCCCGACCCAACCGGUCUGAAGCCAAGAUCAGACUCCUUCCCUCCCAAGCAGUGAGUUUCCAACCAACGGAUCCACCAUUGCCUCCAUCUCCUGGGCCGCAGGGCCUUCAUCUACAAGUGUUUAUUAAGUGCUUAACCCUGCAAACCGCUGCCGUGCAGUGGGCAGCAAACCCAGACACAGCCUCUGCCGGAUGGAGGUUACGCUCUACUGGGAGAGGCAGACGCUCGUCAAAUAAUUACUUAAGAAUAUGCAAAGUAAACUGUGGGAAAUGCUCCGAAAGAGAGGCUCGUGACCCUGCUAGGAGGCCAGGGAAGGCUUCCCCGUGGAAGUGAGGCUGGAGCUGAGUGAAGGAUGAGGCCUGACCAGGCAGGAGGCGCUGAGACCAUCCCGGCGGCUGUGCACGCCCAGCAGUGGAAGGUAGGGCAGAGGAUUCUGGAGGGGGCGUGUGAACGGUCGGGGGGAGAGGUAGGAGCUGGGACCACGCUGACGCCCAGCAGUCUGGCUGCAGAGAGGGGCCCGUUUGUGGCGUGCUAGGUGCAGCCUGGCACCAGGCUCUGCCACGGCGCCAGGCUGCUUACAUCCACUCUGGUGUGUGCACCGACUCAUCAAGCUCACCCUUCUUUCAGUCGAGAUGCUCUUGGUCGGGCCCUUUCCCAACAUGGAGCCGUGUGGGCAGCCGUGUGGGCAGAGCCAUGCCGCAGGACCAGCUCACCUGUUCUGUUCAUUGGCCUGGAGACUUUGGGCACACAGGCGCCGAGCCGCAGGCCUCAACAGCAGUAGAGGCAGUAUUGUUGACUUGCUGUGAGGUCGAAGGUCACAGCUCACACGAGCUCGGGGGUGAUGCAGGCUCGGUGUCUGAGGGGCGGCGGUGGCUCGUACGAAGAGAGAUUGGGUUUGUGUCUUGUCCUGGCCUCGCAAAGUAAAUUCCACGUUGACUUUAAAACGUUAGCGCAGUCAGAAGCCCCUGAGGUGGGGGACAGAGGACACAGUCGUGGGCGGGCUGGAGGGCCACAGGGGAGGAGAUGCCCCCGAGAGCCUGUCACUCCUAUCCGCAGCAGCUCCCCGAGGGCCCUCCUGCCCGGGCGGGGCUGCCUGUUUCCAGAGUGCCCGCCCUCAGCACAGGGCCGUCCAGUGUCCAGCAAGUACCAGGAACUGUCCGCCACAGCAUCCCCCGGGGCUGCUGUCGCCCUGCUUCCAGGAACCGCUGGUUGUGCGACUGCAAAACUGCGGUGCCGGCAAGCUGGCGUCCUCAGAAAGGCGAGCGGAGAAGCUGUGCUGCCAGCCGCCCGCUGCCCGGGCCCGAGAGUGCUAACAGGCGUCUGACACUCGCCCCUGGGCUCAGCGGUCCUGUGUGCCCUGUUCAGGAGUGCCGGGACCCUGGUUGUCCCACCAAAAAGCCCUCGAGCUGAAACAACACAGCUGGGAUCACAGUUUUCCACCUCUCCAGAUCGCUGCUGGAGCCUGUGGAAAAUUUUAGGCCUCUGGAGGUUCACCCUCACGCCCCCCAGGACCCUGCUCAGGGAGCCCGAGGGAGCCGUGAUAAGGUGUCCCCAUCAGCCUACAGGAACGCCACCUGCCCUGAGCCUCCCCAGCCAGAGGGGUUUCCACAUGGCCCCCCUUCCCUGCCCACACGCCGCCCACAGCUAGUUCCCUAAGAGAAAGGGCCUCACAGCGUCUUGCUUCAAAGGACGGAAAUCCUAAGGGAGCCUCUACCGGCACCGGCUCGGCCUUAGGGAGCACGUGCUCUUCCAGGCCCUUUGCAGACAGCGCUCGUUCAGUCUUCACAGCAACUCCACGAAUGAGGAACCGAUACAUCCAUCUGGAGAGGAGUAACCAAGGCUCGAAAAGGCUACAUAAAUGCUCUCAGUCACCCAGCUUGUGUGCAGCAGAUCCGGGAUUCAAAGCCAGAUGAUCUGGCUCUAGAACCCGAGCACGAAGUCCUCCAUGGUCCUCGUGGACCCAGAGUCUGUUCUAAACAUCCUGCCCCGAGCUCCUUCCCUAAGAUCACAGGCUCCAGGAUUUCACGAGAGCAAGGACAUUUCAGCUAAAAUCACUUUCUUUAGCACGGAGCCUCCUGGCAGAGUGAAGAUGAUACAAGCCUGAAACAAAGUAACGGCAGGGCAGGUACUGAGCCAGCGGCUAGGAGGACACAGCUCUGCUCUGUGUCCUGCAUCCCUGGGCAGAAUUGUCCCUGUUCCCCCGCCCACACCGGGCACCCAGGACACCUUGGCGUCCUUGGCGAGUGGGUCACACACUUGGCACCUGCCUGCUCGGGCGCAAAUCUACCCUUAGGCGCUAACACAGACCUGCGCAGUGACCGAACCCUGAGGCCAGGACGCCGCAGGCCCCGCAGUGAGGAGUGGCUCUCACACAGGAUUCGAAGGGCCAUCUGAUCCAUGGAGUCUCUGAGGGGGCACAAGGUCAGGACUCUCCCCCAGGGUCCAGGCUCUUCACACCCACGACCCCGCGUGGUGUGUGCAGGAGCUCAGUCCCUUCCCUGCAUCACAGGGACCAGCCGUCGCCUGCCCUCUGGGGACCCGAUGCCUGGAGUGGUCAGGUCGCUAGCGCGGGCCCCUCUCUCAGUUUUCCCCAAACGUUAACGAAAUCCCGCAUCUCCAGGGGAGAGACUGAAUUUCAGUGUUUCCACAUUCCUACCAUGAACAAAAGCCAAAGGAAACCCAGAUGGAGGAUGAUGUGGGUUUAUUUUGCUUUGUUUUCAUUGUGGCCCAAGAUUCUCUGGAAAAAGUGAUCUGUCUGAUUCCGAUGUCGGUAACAACUGAGCUCCUGUUACAGAAGCGAGGACCAGAUCUGCCACCAGGGACUGGCGUGUGGACCAGACAUCCCCGGGGGAAGGGCGCACACGGGGAAAGCUGAACCCUCCCUGCCCCGACACAAGAGAGGGAGGCCGGCAGGUGAAACUGGAGAACGGGGUCUGGGAAGGAAGCCGGGAGCUCCCUCUAUAGAGUCUACCUGAAAAUAUGUAGGUCAGGAACGCUAGUCUCCUGACCCCGGAGGGAAUCAAGGGGAGACUUAGGGAGCGGGAUGCAUUAGGGGUUAUCUGAGUCUAUCUCCCAAUUCCAAGCUCUCCCAGGAGAGCCGCUGCUCCCACGAAGGGGGACUUGCCAACCUGUCUCGUUAGCUGAGAGCUCAGCCACACAAAAAAGCCAAAUAAAUAGGCAGUGACUUUCUUUGGUUGAAAUUUUAAAAAUCCCAGAUGAGUUUGUGUCUCAGAGCUGCCGGUUCACCAAUUCUGACUCCACUGCCGGAUGUUUACAGCCUGAGAUGAGGAUCUUCUCAACAUCACGAUUCACUUUCCUUGUUGUAGAAUCAGGCUGCUGCCACCAGCGGUCCCAGAGCCAGCUCACAGGGCUGUGCUGCGUGACACGUGGCCUCCGCCACGGAGCGCAUGCUCGCAGGAUGCGCUCGCGCUGGGUGCCCACCGCCUCCCCAGUCUGUGAGUGUCCCCAACCCCCCGUGAGCCCAGCCCAGGCCUCAGCGCCCCGCAGGCAGCCUGCCCUCUGCUCCUUGCACUGUGCCCCGUGAGGCCACUCGGCUCAGGGCUCCCUGGGCAGCCCCGGGAUGGGGGACGGGUUUUCCUCUCCACCUGGGAGCAGAAGGCAGGAUGCGGAGACAUGCCGUCCCAUCAGCUUAUCCCCCAAUCAUAAAAGCCACAGCAAGUACCAUUAGCCACUCGUGCAGAGGCCAUGCGAGCGGCAUUGCUGCGGCCCUGCAACUGCCUCCCGGCUCUGGCCCCAGCUGCACGCUGUCCAGAGGGACAGUGCACACCCAGACCUCAGGGUGGAAGAAGAAAAGCGUGUUACUGCAGCCAGCAGAGGGGGAGGAAAGAGGACCCACCUGGCACAAUUAGGUCUCCAAUUAGAGCACACGCAUGUCUCCUCACUCCCAGCCCGCUCACACCUGCUCACACACACCCGCUCACACACGGAGACUUACAUGAGUUCAGGGCUAAAUUGUCUGUAUCUUCAUUUCGUGAUCUGUGGGACACCAGGCAGCUUCCAGCGGUUGGAUUUUGCGAGUUGUGAAAUCUAACCAUCGUGCAAGAAGUAAAUCUUUAGAAAUGAGAGUUAGACUGAGACAGCUCCUUCUCUCGCUACGCGGUUGGUGCUAAGGGAGGAUUGGUCAAUAAAA